Schistocerca serialis cubense is the source of this 121-nucleotide ribosomal RNA. The record is from RefSeq and is a predicted model, not a curated record. NCBI's taxonomy places the organism in Eukaryota, Metazoa, Arthropoda, Insecta, Orthoptera, Acrididae.
GCCAACGGCCAUACCAUGAUGUGAUACACCGGUUCUCGUCCGAUCACCGAAGUUAAGCAUCCAUUGGGCCCAGUUAGUACUUGGAUGGGUGACCACCUGGGAAACCUGGGUGCUGUUGGCU